This 254-nucleotide ribosomal RNA is filed under the name uncultured bacterium. Its description in RNAcentral is "partial 16S ribosomal RNA". It matches the Rfam family "Bacterial small subunit ribosomal RNA", at positions 524 to 775 of the family's 1533-position model. The record is from RNAcentral.
UACGUAGGAGGCGAGCGUUGUCCGGAAUUACUGGGCGUAAAGAGCGCGUAGGCGGCACAGCGCGACCGGUGUGAAAGCCCCCGGCUCAACUGGGGAGAGCCACUGGUAACGGCUGAGCUUAUGAGUGCAGGAGAGGGAAGUGGAACUCCGGGAGUAGCGGUGAAAUGCGUAGAUACCCGGAGGAACACCAGUGGCGAAGGCGGCUUCCUGGCCUGCGACUGACGCUGUGGCGCGAAAGCUAGGGGAGCAAACGG